This 71-nucleotide transfer RNA is filed under the name Marmota monax (woodchuck). It matches the Rfam family "tRNA". From Rfam's summary of the family: Transfer RNA (tRNA) molecules are approximately 80 nucleotides in length. Their secondary structure includes four short double-helical elements and three loops (D, anti-codon, and T loops). Lineage: Eukaryota; Metazoa; Chordata; Mammalia; Rodentia; Sciuridae. The record is from Rfam by way of RNAcentral.
GUGGUUGUGGCUCAGUGGUAGAGUGCUCGCCUAGCAUGUGAGGGAUGCUGGGUUCGAUCCUCAGCACCACA